GGAUUGAACGCUGGCGGCAGGCCUAACACAUGCAAGUCGAGCGGUAGAGAGGUGCUUGCAUCUCUUGAGAGCGGCGGACGGGUGAGUAAUGCCUAGGAAUCUGCCUAGUGGUGGGGGGUAACGUUCGGAAACGGACGCUAAUACCGCAUACGUCCUACGGGAGAAAGCGGGGGACCUUCGGGCCUCGCGCCAUUAGAUGAGCCUAGGUCGGAUUAGCUAGUUGGUGAGGUAAUGGCUCACCAAGGCGACGAUCCGUAACUGGUCUGAGAGGAUGAUCAGUCACACUGGAACUGGGACACGGUCCAGACUCCUACGGGAGGCAGCAGUGGGGAAUAUUGGACAAUGGGCGAAAGCCUGAUCCAGCCAUGCCGCGUGUGUGAAGAAGGUCUUCGGAUUGAAAGCACUUUAAGUGGAGAAGGUUGUAACCUAAUACGUUGCAACUUUGACGUUACGACAGAAUAAGCACCGCUAACUCGUGCCAGCGAGCCGCGUAAUC
Molecule: ribosomal RNA, 496 nt
Filed under: uncultured soil bacterium
Lineage: Bacteria
Description: bacterial SSU rRNA
Rfam family: Bacterial small subunit ribosomal RNA
Source: RNAcentral